UACGGGGGGGGCAAGCGUUGUUCGGAAUUACUGGGCGUAAAGGGCUCGUAGGCGGCCAACUAAGUCAGACGUGAAAUCCCUCGGCUUAACCGGGGAACUGCGUCUGAUACUGGAUGGCUUGAGUUUGGGAGAGGGAUGCGGAAUUCCAGGUGUAGCGGUGAAAUGCGUAGAUAUCUGGAGGAACCCCGGUGGGGAAGGCGGCAUCCUGGGCCAACACUGACGCUGAGUGAGCGAAAGCCAGGGGAGCAAACGGG
Molecule: ribosomal RNA, 254 nt
Filed under: uncultured bacterium
Lineage: Bacteria
Description: partial 16S ribosomal RNA
Rfam family: Bacterial small subunit ribosomal RNA
Source: RNAcentral